This 1436-nucleotide ribosomal RNA is filed under the name uncultured organism. RNAcentral describes it as "16S ribosomal RNA". It matches the Rfam family "Bacterial small subunit ribosomal RNA". The record is from RNAcentral.
GUGCUUAACACAUGCAAGUCGAACGGAAAGGCCCUGCUUUUGUGGGGUGCUCGAGUGGCGAACGGGUGAGUAACACGUGAGUAACCUGCCCUUGACUUUGGGAUAACUUCAGGAAACUGGGGCUAAUACCGGAUAGGAGCUCCUGCUGCAUGGUGGGGGUUGGAAAGUUUCGGCGGUUGGGGAUGGACUCGCGGCUUAUCAGCUUGUUGGUGGGGUAGUGGCUUACCAAGGCUUUGACGGGUAGCCGGCCUGAGAGGGUGACCGGCCACAUUGGGACUGAGAUACGGCCCAGACUCCUACGGGAGGCAGCAGUGGGGAAUAUUGCACAAUGGGCGGAAGCCUGAUGCAGCAACGCCGCGUGCGGGAUGACGGCCUUCGGGUUGUAAACCGCUUUCGCCUGUGACGAAGCGUGAGUGACGGUAAUGGGUAAAGAAGCACCGGCUAACUACGUGCCAGCAGCCGCGGUGAUACGUAGGGUGCGAGCGUUGUCCGGAUUUAUUGGGCGUAAAGGGCUCGUAGGUGGUUGAUCGCGUCGGAAGUGUAAUCUUGGGGCUUAACCCUGAGCGUGCUUUCGAUACGGGUUGACUUGAGGAAGGUAGGGGAGAAUGGAAUUCCUGGUGGAGCGGUGGAAUGCGCAGAUAUCAGGAGGAACACCAGUGGCGAAGGCGGUUCUCUGGGCCUUUCCUGACGCUGAGGAGCGAAAGCGUGGGGAGCGAACAGGCUUAGAUACCCUGGUAGUCCACGCUGUAAACGGUGGGUACUAGGUGUGGGGUCCAUUCCACGGGUUCCGUGCCGUAGCUAACGCUUUAAGUACCCCGCCUGGGGAGUACGGCCGCAAGGCUAAAACUCAAAGGAAUUGACGGGGCCCCGCACAAGCGGCGGAGCAUGCGGAUUAAUUCGAUGCAACGCGUAGAACCUUACCUGGGUUUGACAUGGAUCGGGAGUGCUCAGAGAUGGGUGUGCCUCUUUUGGGGUCGGUUCACAGGUGGUGCAUGGCUGUCGUCAGCUCGUGUCGUGAGAUGUUGGGUUAAGUCCCGCAACGAGCGCAACCCUUGUUCACUGUUGCCAGCACGUUAUGGUGGGGACUCAGUGGAGACCGCCGGGGUCAACUCGGAGGAAGGUGGGGAUGACGUCAAGUCAUCAUGCCCCUUAUGUCCAGGGCUUCACGCAUGCUACAAUGGCUGGUACAGAGAGUGGCGAGCCUGUGAGGGUGAGCGAAUCUCGGAAAGCCGGUCUCAGUUCGGAUUGGGGUCUGCAACUCGACCUCAUGAAGUCGGAGUCGCUAGUAAUCGCAGAUCAGCAACGCUGCGGUGAAUACGUUCCCGGGGCUUGUACACACCGCCCGUCAAGUCAUGAAAGUUGGUAACACCCGAAGCCGGCGGCCUAACCGUUGUGGGGGAGCCGUCGAAGGUGGGACUGGUGAUUAGGACUAAGUC